CCUACGGGCGGCAGCAGUGAGGAAUAUUGGUCAAUGGACGAGAGUCUGAACCAGCCAAGUAGCGUGAAGGAUGACUGCCCUAUGGGUUGUAAACUUCUUUUAUAUGGGAAUAAAAUGUUCCACGUGUGGGAUUUUGUAUGUACCAUAUGAAUAAGGAUCGGCUAACUCCGUGCCAGCAGCCGCGGUAAUACGGAGGAUCCGAGCGUUAUCCGGAUUUAUUGGGUUUAAAGGGAGCGUAGGUGGAUUGUUAAGUCAGUUGUGAAAGUUUGCGGCUCAACCGUAAAAUUGCAGUUGAAACUGGCAGUCUUGAGUACAGUAGAGGUGGGCGGAAUUCGUGGUGUAGCGGUGAAAUGCUUAGAUAUCACGAAGAACUCCGAGUGCGAAGGCAGUUCACUGGACUGCAACUGACACUGAGGCUCGAAAGUGUGGGUAUCAAACAGGAUUAGAUACCCCUGUAGUC
This 460-nucleotide ribosomal RNA is filed under the name uncultured bacterium. RNAcentral's name for it is "partial 16S ribosomal RNA". It matches the Rfam family "Bacterial small subunit ribosomal RNA", at positions 338 to 795 of the family's 1533-position model. The record is from RNAcentral.